AUUGAACGCUGGCGGCAGGCCUAAUACAUGCAAGUCGAGCGGAGCGGCGGACGGGCGAGUAAUGCCUAGGAAGCUGCCUGGUCGUGGGGGAUAACGUCCGGAAACGGGCGCUAAUAUCGCAUAAUAUUAGAUGUGCCUAGGUCGGAUUAGCUAGUUGGUGUGGUAAAGGACUACCAGGGCGACGAUCCGUAACUGGUCUGAGAGGAUGAGCAGUCAGACUGGAACUGAGACACGGUCCAGACUCCUACGGGAGGCAGCAGUAGGGAAUAUUGGACAAUGGGCGAAAGCCUGAUCCAGCCAUGCCGCGUGUGUGAAGAAGGUCUUCGGAUUGUAAAGCACUUUAAGUUGGGAAGCGUUACCAACACAGUAAGCACCGGCUAACUUCGUGCCAGCAGCCGCGGUAAUAC
Molecule: ribosomal RNA, 407 nt
Filed under: uncultured bacterium
Lineage: Bacteria
Description: partial 16S ribosomal RNA
Rfam family: Bacterial small subunit ribosomal RNA
Source: RNAcentral